UCGAGUCCACAGGGGUGCUUUAUAGCUGAGAGAACGAAAGUUUAACCCUUAUUACCUGAUCUGGUUAGUACCAGCGUAGGAAGUUGUAAUGAUAAAAUU
Molecule: non-coding RNA, 99 nt
Filed under: Gammaproteobacteria bacterium
Lineage: Bacteria; Pseudomonadati; Pseudomonadota; Gammaproteobacteria
Description: TPP sequence
Rfam family: TPP riboswitch aptamer (THI element)
About the family: Vitamin B(1) in its active form thiamin pyrophosphate (TPP) is an essential coenzyme that is synthesised by coupling of pyrimidine and thiazole moieties in bacteria.
Source: RNAcentral